UACGGGAGGCAGCAGUGGGAAUAUUGCACAAUGGGCGCAAGCCUGAUGCAGGCCAUGCCGCGUGUAUGAAGAAGGCCUUCGGGUUGUAAAGUACUUUCAGUCGUGAGGAAGGUGUUAAGGUUAAUAACCUUAGCAAUUGACGUUAGCGACAGAAGAAGCACCGGCUAACUCCGUGCCAGCAGCCGCGGUAAUACGGAGGGUGCGAGCGUUAAUCGGAAUUACUGGGCGUAAAGGGCACGCAGGCGGUUAAUUAAGUUGGAUGUGAAAUCCCCGGGCUUAACCUGGGAAUGGCAUUCAAGACUGGUUAGCUAGAGUCUUGUAGAGGGGGUAGAAUUCCAUGUGUAGCGGUGAAAUGCGUAGAGAUGUGGAGGAAUACCGGUGGCGAAGGCGGCCCCUGGACAAAGACUGACGCUCAUGUGCGAAAGCGUGGGGAGCAAACAGGGAUUAGAUACC
This 453-nucleotide ribosomal RNA is filed under the name uncultured bacterium. RNAcentral describes it as "bacterial SSU rRNA". It matches the Rfam family "Bacterial small subunit ribosomal RNA", at positions 340 to 786 of the family's 1533-position model. The record is from RNAcentral.